This 514-nucleotide ribosomal RNA is filed under the name uncultured bacterium. RNAcentral describes it as "bacterial SSU rRNA". It matches the Rfam family "Bacterial small subunit ribosomal RNA", at positions 8 to 518 of the family's 1533-position model. The record is from RNAcentral.
AGAGUUUGAUCAUGGCUCAGGAUGAACGCUAGCUACAGGCUUAACACAUGCAAGUCGAGGGGUAGCAGGGUAGCAAUACCGCUGACGACCGGCGCACGGGUGAGUAACACGUAUCCAACCUUCCCAUAACUCAGGGAUAGCCUUUCGAAAGAAAGAUUAAUACCUGAUAGUACUUUUUCAAGGCAUCUUGAGAAAGUUAAAGAUUUAUUGGUUAUGGAUGGGGAUGCGUUCCAUUAGAUAGUUGGUGAGGUAACGGCUCACCAAGUCUUCGAUGGAUAGGGGUUCUGAGAGGAAGGUCCCCCACAUUGGUACUGAGACACGGACCAAACUCCUACGGGAGGCAGCAGUGAGGAAUAUUGGUCAAUGGGCGAGAGCCUGAACCAGCCAAGUAGCGUGAAGGAAUGAAGGUCCUAUGGAUUGUAAACUUCUUUUAUAGUAGAAUAAAGUGAUCCACGUGUGGAUUUUUGUAUGUAUACUAUGAAUAAGGAUCGGCUAACUCCGUGCCAGCCGCCGC